UGUGGAUGCACCUGGUCCUGUAUGUUUAUGCUAUUCCUUGAUCUCAAUAACCUUUACUAGGCCUACACUUUUUUAACGUUGAUUUUAACAUGUAACAUAAUGGUCAUAACAAUACGAAUAAAACUAAUUGUUUAAAUGAAUAUUACACAAAAACAUAAUAACGCUUUUGAUUCAUGAACAUAUUUGCUUCAGAUAUUUAAACAUUAGAACCGAG
RNAcentral lists this long non-coding RNA (214 nucleotides) under Mytilus galloprovincialis (Mediterranean mussel). Lineage: Eukaryota; Metazoa; Mollusca; Bivalvia; Mytilida; Mytilidae. The record is from RNAcentral.